CGUGAGGUGUCGGCUUAAGUGCCAUAACGAGCGCAACCCUUUUCCCUGUUUGCCAUCAGGUUAAGCUGGGCACUCCAGGGACACUGCCAUCGCAAGAUGCGGAGGAACAUGUGGUUUAAUUCGAUGAUACGCGAGGAACCUUACCCGGGCUUGAACUGAGCAGGAAUGAUGCAGAGACGCAUCAGUCUUCGGACCUGCUCGGAGGUGCUGCAUGGUUGUCGUCAGCUCGUGCCGUGAGGUGUCGGCUUAAGUGCCAUAACGAGCGCAACCCUUUUCCCUGUUUGCCAUCAGGUUAAGCUGGGCACUCCAGGGACACUGCCAUCGCAAGAUG
RNAcentral lists this ribosomal RNA (331 nucleotides) under Escherichia coli. Its description in RNAcentral is "bacterial SSU rRNA". The stretch from base 97 to 331 matches the Rfam family "Bacterial small subunit ribosomal RNA", at positions 927 to 1165 of the family's 1533-position model. The record is from RNAcentral. Lineage: Bacteria; Pseudomonadati; Pseudomonadota; Gammaproteobacteria; Enterobacterales; Enterobacteriaceae.